GGAAGCGUGUCCGAGUGGCUGAAGGAGCACGAUUGGAAAUCGUGUAUGCGCCCUUAAAGCGUAUCGAGGGUUCGAAUCCCUCCGCUUCCG
This 90-nucleotide transfer RNA is filed under the name Thermoleophilia bacterium. RNAcentral describes it as "tRNA-Ser". It matches the Rfam family "tRNA". From Rfam's summary of the family: Transfer RNA (tRNA) molecules are approximately 80 nucleotides in length. Their secondary structure includes four short double-helical elements and three loops (D, anti-codon, and T loops). Further hydrogen bonds mediate the characteristic L-shaped molecular structure. tRNAs have two regions of fundamental functional importance: the anti-codon, which is responsible for specific mRNA codon recognition, and the 3' end, to which the tRNAs corresponding amino acid is attached (by aminoacyl-tRNA synthetases). tRNAs cope with the degeneracy of the genetic code in two manners: having more than one tRNA (with a specific anti-codon) for a particular amino acid; and 'wobble' base-pairing, i.e. permitting non-standard base-pairing at the 3rd anti-codon position. Lineage: Bacteria; Bacillati; Actinomycetota; Thermoleophilia. The record is from RNAcentral.